Mesocricetus auratus (golden hamster) is the source of this 107-nucleotide small nuclear RNA. NCBI's taxonomy places the organism in Eukaryota, Metazoa, Chordata, Mammalia, Rodentia, Cricetidae. The record is from Ensembl.
AUGCUCAAUUGGGCAGCACACAUACUAAAAUUGGACCGAUACAGAGAAGAUUAGUACGGCCCCGGCACAAGGAUGACAAGCAAAUUCGUGAAGUGUUCCAUGUGUUA